GCAUUAAUAGAAAGUUUUCAGCGCUGUUAAAAAGCUUUUUUCGUAAAUUUUAAGCCGGUUUUCAAGAAUACAUAUUCAUGUUGACGGACUGACCGCGCUCUUCGCAUGCGUGAAAAGACUGGGACUGGCCUUCAAGUUUGGCUUCAAAUUUCCGGUGGAAGGUAUCGUUCCAGUUAUAUUCAUUUCAGUGGUGAGAGGUAGCGGUAGUCAAAUCUGAAGUCUGAACCAGGACCGCAGAACCAGAAGG
This is a non-coding RNA of Paramuricea clavata, 247 nucleotides long. The record is from the annotation of a GenBank genome assembly. NCBI's taxonomy places the organism in Eukaryota, Metazoa, Cnidaria, Anthozoa, Malacalcyonacea, Plexauridae.